UGGGGGAUAUUGCACAAUGGGCGAAAGCCUGAUGCAGCGACGCCGCGUGGGGGAUGAAGGCCUUCGGUUUGUAAACUUCUUUUGCUCUGAACAAGGCAUGCUAAUGGGUGUGUUGAGUGUAGGGGUUGAUUAGCGCCGGCUAACUACGUGCCAGCAGCCGCGGUAAUACGUAGGGCGCGAGCGUUGUCCGGAAUUAUUGGGCGUAAAGGGCUUGUAGGUGGCUGGUUGCGUCUGUCGUGAAAGCUCAUGGCUUAACUGUGGGUUUGCGGUGGGUACGGGCUGGCUUGAGUGCAGUAGGGGAGGCUGGAAUUCCUGGUGUAGCGGUGGAAUGCGCAGAUAUCAGGAGGAAUACCGGUGGCGAAGGCGGGUCUCUGGGCUGUUACUGACACUGAGGAGCGAAAGCAUGGGGAGCGAACAGG
RNAcentral lists this ribosomal RNA (419 nucleotides) under bacterium. RNAcentral describes it as "partial 16S ribosomal RNA". It matches the Rfam family "Bacterial small subunit ribosomal RNA", at positions 355 to 776 of the family's 1533-position model. The record is from RNAcentral.